GAGGGAAACAACCCAGACCGCCAGCUAAGGUCCCAAAGUCAUGGUUAAGUGGGAAACGAUGUGGGAAGGCCCAGACAGCCAGGAUGUUGGCUUAGAAGCAGCCAUCAUUUAAAGAAAGCGUAAUAGCUCACUGGUCGAGUCGGCCUGCGCGGAAGAUGUAACGGGGCUAAACCAUGCACCGAAGCUGCGGCAGCGACACUGUGUGUUGUUGGGUAGGGGAGCGUUCUGUAAGCCUGUGAAGGUGUGUCGUGAGGCAUGCUGGAGGUAUCAGAAGUGCGAAUGCUGACAUAAGUAACGAUAAAGCGGGUGAAAAGCCCGCUCGCCGGAAGACCAAGGGUUCCUGUCCAACGUUAAUCGGGGCAGGGUGAGUCGACCCCUAAGGCGAGGCCGAAAGGCGUAGUCGAUGGGAAACGGGUUAAUAUUCCCGUACUUGGUGUUACUGCGAAGGGGGGACGGAGAAGGCUAUGUUGGCCGGGCGACGGUUGUCCCGGUUUAAGCGUGUAGGUGUGUGUUCCAGGUAAAUCCGGUUCACUUUAACACUGAGGCGUGACGACGAGGCACUACGGUGCUGAAGCAACAAAUGCCCUGCUUCCAGGAAAAGCCUCUAAGCAUCAGGUAACAUCAAAUCGUACCCCAAACCGACACAGGUGGUCAGGUAGAGAAUACCAAGGCGCUUGAGAGAACUCGGGUGAAGGAACUAGGCAAAAUGGUGCCGUAACUUCGGGAGAAGGCACGCUGACACGUAGGUGAAGUGAUUUACUCAUGGAGCUGAAGUCAGUCGAAGAUACCAGCUGGCUGCAACUGUUUAUUAAAAACACAGCACUGUGCAAACACGAAAGUGGACGUAUACGGUGUGACGCCUGCCCGGUGCCGGAAGGUUAAUUGAUGGGGUCAGCGCAAGCGAAGCUCCUGAUCGAAGCCCCGGUAAACGGCGGCCGUAACUAUAACGGUCCUAAGGUAGCGAAAUUCCUUGUCGGGUAAGUUCCGACCUGCACGAAUGGCGUAAUGAUGGCCAGGCUGUCUCCACCCGAGACUCAGUGAAAUUGAACUCGCUGUGAAGAUGCAGUGUACCCGCGGCAAGACGGAAAGACCCCGUGAACCUUUACUAUAGCUUGACACUGAACAUUGAGCCUUGAUGUGUAGGAUAGGUGGGAGGCUUUGAAGUGUGGACGCCAGUCUGCAUGGAGCCGACCUUGAAAUACCACCCUUUAAUGUUUGAUGUUCUAACGUGGACCCGUUACCCGGGUUGCGGACAGUGUCUGGUGGGUAGUUUGACUGGGGCGGUCUCCUCCUAAAGAGUAACGGAGGAGCACGAAGGUUGGCUAAUCCUGGUCGGACAUCAGGAGGUUAGUGCAAUGGCAUAAGCCAGCUUGACUGCGAGCGUGACGGCGCGAGCAGGUGCGAAAGCAGGUCAUAGUGAUCCGGUGGUUCUGAAUGGAAGGGCCAUCGCUCAACGGAUAAAAGGUACUCCGGGGAUAACAGGCUGAUACCGCCCAAGAGUUCAUAUCGACGGCGGUGUUUGGCACCUCGAUGUCGGCUCAUCACAUCCUGGGGCUGAAGUAGGUCCCAAGGGUAUGGCUGUUCGCCAUUUAAAGUGGUACGCGAGCUGGGUUUAGAACGUCGUGAGACAGUUCGGUCCCUAUCUGCCGUGGGCGCUGGAGAACUGAGGGGGGCUGCUCCUAGUACGAGAGGACCGGAGUGGACGCAUCACUGGUGUUCGGGUUGUCAUGCCAAUGGCACUGCCCGGUAGCUAAAUGCGGAAGAGAUAAGUGCUGAAAGCAUCUAAGCACGAAACUUGCCCCGAGAUGAGUUCUCCCUGAGACUUUAGGUCUCCUGAAGGAACGUUGAAGACGACGACGUUGAUAGGCCGGGUGUGUAAGCGCAGCGAUGCGUUGAGCUAACCGGUACUAAUGAACCGUGAGGCUUAACCUUACAACGCCGAAG
Molecule: ribosomal RNA, 1944 nt
Filed under: Salmonella enterica
Lineage: Bacteria; Pseudomonadati; Pseudomonadota; Gammaproteobacteria; Enterobacterales; Enterobacteriaceae
Description: partial 23S ribosomal RNA
Rfam family: Bacterial large subunit ribosomal RNA
Source: RNAcentral